GACGAACGCUGGCGGCGUGCCUAAUACAUGCAAGUCGAGCGGGGUUCCUUCGGGAACCUAGCGGCGAACGGGUGAGUAACACGUGGGCAACCUGCCCUCAAGCCUGGGAUAACUCCGGGAAACCGGUGCUAAUACCAGAUAAUCAUUGCUUCCGCAUGGAAGCUUUGUAAAAGUUUUUCGCUUGAGGAUGGGCCCGCGGUGCAUUAGCUUGUUGGUGGGGUAAUGGCCUACCAAGGCGACGAUGCAUAGCCGACCUGAGAGGGUGACCGGCCACACUGGGACUGAGACACGGCCCAGACUCCUACGGGAGGCAGCAGUAGGGAAUUUUCCGCAAUGGGCGAAAGCCUGACGGAGCAACGCCGCGUGAGUGAUGACGGCCUUCGGGUUGUAAAGCUCUGUUCUUAGGGAAGAAGUUCUGACGGUACCUAAGGAGAAAGCCCCGGCUAACUACGUGCCAGCAGCCGCAGUAA
This 470-nucleotide ribosomal RNA is filed under the name uncultured bacterium. Its description in RNAcentral is "partial 16S ribosomal RNA". It matches the Rfam family "Bacterial small subunit ribosomal RNA", at positions 28 to 523 of the family's 1533-position model. The record is from RNAcentral.